CCUUCUCUGUCUUCUUCUUCAUCCCACAUAAAACCCAUCUCCUCCGGCGAGUCCCAGUUCCCCAUUACCGGAAAAUCAUGCUCCGACGAACUAUCCGAAUCAGAUUCAGGAUAAUAACAUGACAAAGAAGGGUACCUCGAAACUCCAGCAACAGAACUCUCCUCUGUUCUUCACCUUCAUAUAUAACCUCCAAUGGCGCUUUCACGUUCCAUUCAACGAAAGACUCGUC
Molecule: long non-coding RNA, 229 nt
Filed under: Lathyrus oleraceus (garden pea)
Lineage: Eukaryota; Viridiplantae; Streptophyta; Magnoliopsida; Fabales; Fabaceae
Description: Pisum sativum (pea) long non-coding RNA (PSAT_LNC003985)
Source: RNAcentral